GACGAACGCUGGCGGCGUGCUUAACACAUGCAAGUCGAACGGUAAGGCCCUUCGGGGUACACGAGUGGCGAACGGGUGAGUAACACGUGGGUGAUCUGCCCUGCACUUCGGGAUAAGCCUGGGAAACUGGGUCUAAUACCGGAUAGGACCACUGCCUGCAUGGGUGGUGGUGGAAAGCUUUUGCGGUGUGGGAUGGGCCCGCGGCCUAUCAGCUUGUUGGUGGGGUGAUGGCCUACCAAGGCGACGACGGGUAGCCGGCCUGAGAGGGUGACCGGCCACACUGGGACUGAGAUACGGCCCAGACUCCUACGGGAGGCAGCAGUGGGGAAUAUUGCACAAUGGGCGCAAGCCUGAUGCAGCGACGCCGCGUGAGGGAUGACGGCCUUCGGGUUGUAAACCUCUUUCAGCACCGACGAAGCGCAAGUGACGGUAGGUGCAGAAGGAGGACCAGCCAACUACGUGCCAGCCGCCGCGGUAA
RNAcentral lists this ribosomal RNA (478 nucleotides) under uncultured bacterium. Its description in RNAcentral is "partial 16S ribosomal RNA". It matches the Rfam family "Bacterial small subunit ribosomal RNA", at positions 28 to 523 of the family's 1533-position model. The record is from RNAcentral.